CCAGGACUUGCGAGACUAUUUUUUUUUCAAUAAUUUUUCAUGUCGAAAUCCUCUUCGUAGGUGUUAAUCAACGAUGGUGUGUUCAUCAUACUAUCUCCUGAUGAUGAAAGCAGGUGGGACCUAUUGUAUGCUCUCUUUUCAAAUCGAGGGCAUUAGUCUCAUUUGCUUGUGAAGGCAAAGUCGAAAUCUCUUAUUGUAUGCGGUGGC
This 207-nucleotide long non-coding RNA is filed under the name Brachypodium distachyon (stiff brome). RNAcentral's name for it is "long non-coding RNA (BDIS_LNC004774)". Lineage: Eukaryota; Viridiplantae; Streptophyta; Magnoliopsida; Poales; Poaceae. The record is from RNAcentral.